GACGAACGCUGGCGGCGUGCUUAACACAUGCAAGUCGAGCGGAAAGGCCCUUUUGGGGGUACUCGAGCGGCGAACGGGUGAGUAACACGUGAGUAAUCUGCCUUUGGCUUUGGGAUAAGCCUCGGAAAUGGGGUCUAAUACCGGAUAUGACAGCUCCACGCAUGUGGUGGUUGUGGAAAGUUUUUUCGGCCAGGGAUGUGCUCGCGGCCUAUCAGCUUGUUGGUGGGGUAAUGGCCUACCAAGGCUUUGACGGGUAGCCGGCCUGAGAGGGUGACCGGCCACACUGGGACUGAGACACGGCCCAGACUCCUACGGGAGGCAGCAGUGGGGAAUAUUGGACAAUGGGCGGAAGCCUGAUCCAGCAACGCCGCGUGAGGGAUGACGGCCUUCGGGUUGUAAACCUCUUUCAGUACCGACGAAGCGCCGGUGAUGGUGGUGACGGUAGGUACAGAAGAAGCACCGGCCAACUACGUG
This 474-nucleotide ribosomal RNA is filed under the name Nocardioides hungaricus. RNAcentral's name for it is "bacterial SSU rRNA". It matches the Rfam family "Bacterial small subunit ribosomal RNA", at positions 28 to 507 of the family's 1533-position model. The record is from RNAcentral. Lineage: Bacteria; Bacillati; Actinomycetota; Actinomycetes; Propionibacteriales; Nocardioidaceae.